Long non-coding RNA from Pan troglodytes (chimpanzee), 3802 nucleotides. RefSeq lists it as uncharacterized. The transcript is spliced from 2 exons. Lineage: Eukaryota; Metazoa; Chordata; Mammalia; Primates; Hominidae. The record is from RefSeq and is a predicted model, not a curated record.
UCUCAGGUAGUCAUAGGCAACCUGAAGGAACUUAGUCCCCCCAGGACCCUAGGGAGCAUGCCAGGAACAAACAGUGGUGCCCACUCACUGGGCCCAUUUCUUGAGUUCAGCUCUUCGACAAGAAAAAAAAGCCCAUUAGUAUAUUUUUUCAUUUUUACCUGAAAAGAAAUAUGACAACUAACAGGAAGUAUGACACUAGCAGGAUGACAAUACCUGCUAGUGAAAUUAAGGCCACCCAGCUCCUCAGAUCAUCAUCAACUGGAAUGACCAGACCUCACUUCAGCUUGCAUUUGUGUUUACUAGAGAGAGCAACGAGGAGUUUUCUUUUAAAGAGUAAGAAGGCAAAAUAGCAUCGUGGAGUGAAAUCUCAUCUCUACAAAAAAGUACAAAAAUUAGUCAGGUGUGGGCACCUGUAUCCCAGCUACUGGGGAGACUGAGGCAGGGGGAUCCCUUGAGCCCAGAAGGUCGAGGCUGCAGUGAGCUGUGAUCAUGUCACUGCACUCCUGCCUGGGUGACAGAUUGAGACCCUGCCUCAAAAAAAAAAAAAAAAAAGAAAGAAAGAAAAGAAAAGAAAGGAAAGGAAGGAAUGAAGGAAUGAGAGAGAGAGAAAGAGACAGAUUGAGAAAGUUGAAAGAAAGACGAAAGAAAGAAAGAGAAAAAGGAGGGAGAGAGGGAGGGAAGGAAGGAAGGAAAAGAAAGAAAGAAAAACAAAAUAACAAAAUGACCUGAGAAGGAAAAGAAAUAAUCAGAGACAUUAAAAAUAAUCGCCGGCGGAUGGGUCUGGUGGCUCAUGCCUGUAAUCCCAGCACUUUGGGAGGCCAAGGCGGGAGGAUCACCUGAGGUCAGGAGUUUGGGACCAGCCUAGUCAACAUGGUGAAACCCCGUCUCUACUAAAAAUACAAAAAUUAGCCGGGCGUGGUGGCGGGCACCCGUAGUCCCAGCUACCCAGGAGGCUGAGGCAGGAGAAUCACUUGAAUCCGGGAGGCGGAGGUUGCAGUGAGCCAAGAUCACGCUACUGCACUCCAGCCCGGGCAACUGAGCGAGACUCCAUUUCAAAAAAAUAAGUAAAUAAAAAAUAAAAAGCAAUAAUAAUAGCCGACAACAGAAUACAGCUAGGCCGAGCGGCAGCCUCCUCUGCUGUCCGUGCGGCUCGCCUGUUGCCUGCUUCACUGCCUGACUGUGGGCUCUGUUUGUCUUGGUCCCCGUGGCAUUACCAGAGCUUAGCAGAUAAGGAGGAGCUUCAUACAUAAUUGUUGGCGUGAACAAAGGAAUGCAUGGUUAACUACGUCAGAAAUGACCAGUUCAAGAGGAGAAUGAGAUUGGCUUCCAAAUGUUGGUCAAGAGCUCUACGUAGCAUGAGCCAAGGAUCUAUUGAACUUAGUAGGCUCCUGUGACCGGUGACUCUUCUGUCUCUAGAAAUCUGGGGAGGUGACCAGGUCAUACAUGGCAGUCUUCCCGUGAGGAACGUUAAACUGGUUGGAACUUGGGGUUCUGAGGGGAAGAUGUAUUCACUAGGUGACCUGUCUUCUCUGCCUCGGUGGCCUCCAUGGCUGCCUGCUGGCCGCACACCCCCACUCAGCAGAGGAAUGGACUUUCCAAUCUUGCUGAGUGUGUUUGACCAAAGGUGGUGCUGACUUAGUGGCCUAAGGUCGUGCCCUCCCUCCCCCACUGAAUCGAUAAAUAAUGCGACUUAUCAGAAAGAGAAAGAAUUGUUUACUUUUAAACCCUGGAUCCCAUAAAGGGAGAGGGGAGAGGCCUAAAGCCACAGAAGCUGUGGAAGGCGUCAUCCUGCCUGCCACAGGAAGGGCCUUGGACUGAGAGGACCGGAGCUGACUGGGGAUUAUUCAAAGCCAAAAGCCAACAGAGCCCCCAUGGAGAAGUGGAGGAUGCUCAGAUACUGCUAUGGAGCCCUGAGAAGUGAAAUGGGCCCAAGCCCUUGCCCGGGAUAGAGCGCUCCAAGCUUAUCCGCCGGAGACCCUUUUAAUCAGUGAAUUGUUCACCUCUCACUGUUUCUUCCCAGCAGAGCUAAGAGACUUCUAGAGCCUCUUGUGAUGGUUAGCGAUAGCCCUGGUAUGACCAGGAGGUGGGGAUUUCUGUUCUAGGUCCCUCAGCAAAGACUAAGCAGGACAAGCCUGGCUACUGUGUUAGGAGGAGCUGCAGGGAAAGGGAAGGACAAGAUGGGCCACCACUUGCCUGUGUCCACUGCUGGCCACACCCAGAGUGCUGGGGGUUUGUGGCAGUGACUGGGGCCACCUAGAACAGUUCUAGGGUUCGUAGUCAUUCUCUCUGAGUCAUGGAAAACUGCCCAGGAGGCGAGUCCCACCUAAGAGAGUAUGUCUAGCACUGGCACGGCCUGCUGCCUUGCAAGUGACCACAUUUCAUGAAAGAAAGCCAGGGCCACAGACAGGAACCAAAGGAAAUCAGUUACUUAGGGGAAGAUAACGAAUCCACAAAGUGAAAAAGGGAAAGAAAAAAAAGAGGCAACUUCAACACUCCAACCCAUGGGAGCAGAAUGACUUUCAGCUUUCGCAGGGGGAUAAUCACUGCAAGUCUAGCUUGAAGAGGGUGAUUUCAUGAUCUACGUGAGAAUAAGGCGCAUUUUUUUUUUCUGAAAAAUACAGAAGGGUUCAUUUACAGCUGUUAAAGAUGGGCCGGUUUUAGGGCUAAAGCAAGACUCUGGUCGGAUGUUAACAACUCAGUUAUCCUGGGGAAAAAAUAACUGGCUCCCAACCCUUUCCCUUUUCAGCAUUUGCAGGAAAAGAAGGAGUAGGUAAAAUGCUUUAUUUCCUCUUAUUCUCCAUGGUGGGCAGGAGUUCACAUAACAAUUAUAAACCAUCUUUAACAGGAAAGCCAAGUAAAUCCUGUAGGGAUUUAUUCGGAGCUCCCUUUUUGCUAGAAAAUGAGUAUCAUGAACUAAAAAUGGACUCAUUUCCUCUCUCUCCAUCUUCCUCCCUUUCUUCUCUCCCCUCAUCUCCCACCCACUGCCAUGGUGGAAAAUGGCUGUGGUCAAGAAGAUUGAACAUUUGAGCAAGACUGGAUGCCUUUAUAUCCAAUAGAUGCCACGGAGAGUAGAUCACAACACAUCUAACUGCUAUAUCCCCAUAUAAAAUAAUUUUAAUUUUCCUAGACUGCAGAAUUGAUCACAUUUGCUGAUGAUGGAUUGGGAAGUAGGUGAGGAGGUGAGAGUUGGAGAGUAUCCAUUCAUUCGGCCAGAUUAUUCUCAUUUAUAAUGUGGUCUUCCAAUAAGUAUUUAUUUCCAGAAAUCUAUUCCCUCUAGAGAUUCUUUCUCUCUCAGCCAUUUUAGAAAAUUGUUGCAAACAGAGUUCCUGUCCGUUUUCACAGGAAGUUUUUGCAGAAGGGGUUUGCUGGGUGGCAGUGGAACACAGGCAGUGGACCCCGUUACUACUCUACUGUUCCAGAACACAGAAGCCUUUCAUCCGCGAGUCUUCAGCUCUUCCCAUUGCUCAAGAUGCUUGCACCCGUGAUGCUUCUUUUCUCUGCUCAGGUCACAAUAUGUGGAGCUGACAAGGUUCCCCUAUUACCAGUGACAAUGGUGGAAUGUGGAGGUGAAGUUAACACCUUCGUGGCUACAGAGUUUCCUUAGCAGAGCUGUGGAGUGUGACAAUGGUGUUUGUGUCUAAAUUAUCAAACGCCAUUAUCACACUAAAUAGCUACUGCUAGGCAAUCCUUCCCUCAAUAAAUGUCUUGGCAUCGUUUGCUUUGAGCAAGAAGGUUCAUCUGAUAUCAGUGUUCCCAAUCUUGUGUACUUACUGAAUAAAGUCUGGUUCUUUUGCACUCAUAA